GUGGGGAAUCUUAGACAAUGGGCGCAAGCCUGAUCUAGCCAUGCCGCGUGAGCGAUGAAGGCCUUAGGGUUGUAAAGCUCUUUCGUGGGGGAAGAUAAUGACUGUACCCCAAGAAGAAGCCCCGGCUAACUCCGUGCCAGCAGCCGCGGUAAUACGGAGGGGGCUAGCGUUGUUCGGAAUUACUGGGCGUAAAGCGCACGUAGGCGGACUGGAAAGUCAGGGGUGAAAUCCCGGGGCUCAACCCCGGAACUGCCUUUGAAACUCCCAGUCUUGAGUUCGAGAGAGGUGAGUGGAAUUCCGAGUGUAGAGGUGAAAUUCGUAGAUAUUCGGAGGAACACCAGUGGCGAAGGCGGCCAUCUGGACCAGCACUGACACUGAGGCACGAAAGCGUGGGGAGCAAACAGGAUUAGAUACCCUGGUAGUCC
RNAcentral lists this ribosomal RNA (425 nucleotides) under uncultured bacterium. Its description in RNAcentral is "partial 16S ribosomal RNA". It matches the Rfam family "Bacterial small subunit ribosomal RNA", at positions 354 to 796 of the family's 1533-position model. The record is from RNAcentral.